This is a long non-coding RNA of Homo sapiens (human), 1552 nucleotides long. Ensembl annotates it as long intergenic non-protein coding RNA 320. Lineage: Eukaryota; Metazoa; Chordata; Mammalia; Primates; Hominidae. The record is from Ensembl.
AAUCAUCUCCCAUUGAAAGCUGAAUCAUGAGGAUACCAUCUCCAAGCAGGUGGAGUAUUUGAUCCCUUUAGCAAGGCAGUGAUUUUGAAAUUCGGGUUUAGACAAAAAGAUAUUUCAAGCUCCUGAAGAACAAGUUUGAAGGAUUCAGAGCAGAGAAUUGCACCCUGGCAUGAUGCCUAUGCCAGCUGGACUGUGUGAUUUUUGUUCUUUAGUAGAAGGAUAACAUGACAUAGCAGGAAUAAUACUGCCUUUUCUUUCUGGCAUGGAUCAAGAGAAAAGAAAAUACAAGAAAACAGACAGAAGCAAGGCAAGGUACUUCUAUGGAAGGGUGAGCCCUCACAGAUGGAGCAAUGGGGCGCGCACACCUGAACAAGGGAGGGGAAGGAGUUCUUAUCCCUGAUGCAUGUGACCCCUGCUGCUGUGUCCUUCCCCUAUUGGCUAAGGUUAGACCACACAGCCUAAACUAAUUCCGAUUGGCUAAUUCAAAGAGAGCGACGGGGGCUUCUGACAGCUUUGGAGAUUGUGACAUUGGAAUAAAGGAAAAACGUACAGGACUCAUGAAGCGCUGAAAUGUUCACAAAUAUCAAGCAAAAGUCAAUGAAAUUUAUUUUGAGCUAUUUACAUCAUUUAAUAAUUGAGCAAGGUAUACUCCUAUGAACAAAAUUUGGAGCAUGUUUGUCUCUCUCUGCCUGGCGUCUUCAGAAUUUGGAAACUAGUUAUGGUUUAUAAUCAGCUAUAGAAUUUUAACACGUGCUCUCAAAUGCAAGUUUCUGAUAACUUUGGAGAUUGUGACAUUGGAAUAAAGGAAGAGCUGGAAUGUUCAUGAAUAUCAAGCAAAAGUCAUGGAAAUUUAUUUUGAGCUAUUUACAGCAUUUAAUAAUUGAGCAAGGUAUACUCCUAUGAACAAAAUUUGGAGCAUGUUUGUCUCUCUCUGUCUGCCUGGCAUCUACAGAAUUUGGAAACUAGUUGUGCUGUACUGCAUGAGAAUGCCUGCAUUUAGUAUGCGAACUGGAAUUGGCAAAGGACGAUGGCUGCUCUCCCGCUAACUUUAAAUAAGUCAUGUCACAAAUUGCAUGUAAGACUUAUAAAAUAUUAACGUUGGGAGACACUGAAACAAAUCAGUAUUUCUAUUAACCUGCGAAAAGAUCUUCCAAAUAUAUAACCAAAGUAACUAAAACAAAUACUAAAAAGAGUUUACUUUUAAAACUAGGUUUAUGAAAUAUUUUCCCCAAGUUUGCAUGAUUAUUAGAAAAGUGGCUUAAAGAGUAAAGAAAAACUGGAAUCUUGUUGACCCCAAGUACUCCUCUAACCCUUUUGCUCUGCUGUUACAAUGGACCAGUAAAUCUUCAAACAUAACACCUCUUAAAUUAAAAACAGAAAUGGUGUAGAUUGCACACAUUACAACAUUUUUUUAGGCUUACUUCUUUUUUUCAAUAUUAAAGCUUAUUUUUCACACAUUACUUAAUGUUGCCUGUUAAAAAGUGGUGCUUAUAUUUGUGUAGCUAUCUGUUUGAUGGUGGUUUAGUUUAGGAAAUAAAUCACACAGUGACAA